GGUCAAGUAAGAAAGGGCGUACGGGGGAUGCCCGGG
RNAcentral lists this ribosomal RNA (36 nucleotides) under Leptospira interrogans. RNAcentral's name for it is "partial 23S ribosomal RNA". Lineage: Bacteria; Pseudomonadati; Spirochaetota; Leptospiria; Leptospirales; Leptospiraceae. The record is from RNAcentral.